Molecule: ribosomal RNA, 840 nt
Filed under: uncultured cyanobacterium
Lineage: Bacteria; Bacillati; Cyanobacteriota
Description: bacterial SSU rRNA
Rfam family: Bacterial small subunit ribosomal RNA
Source: RNAcentral
GAUGAACGCUGGCGGCAUGCCUAACACAUGCAAGUCGAACGAAUCUUUCGGGAUUAGUGGCGGACGGGUGAGUAACGCGUGAGAAUCUGCCUCGAGGAUGGGGACAACAGUUGGAAACGACUGCUAAUACCCAAUAUGCCUAACGGUGAAAUUUUUUAGCCUUGAGAGGAGCUCGCGUCCGAUUAGUUAGUUGGUGGGGUAAAAGCCUACCAAGGCAGCGAUCGGUAGCUGGUCUGAGAGGAUGAGCAGCCACACUGGGACUGAGACACGGCCCAGACUCCUACGGGAGGCAGCAGUGGGGAAUUUUCCGCAAUGGGCGAAAGCCUGACGGAGCAAUACCGCGUGAGGGAGGAAGGUUUUUGGAUUGUAAACCUCUUUUUUAAAGGAAGAAGAAAAUGACGGUACUUUAAGAAUAAGCAUCGGCUAACUCCGUGCCAGCAGCCGCGGUAAUACGGAGGAUGCAAGCGUUAUCCGGAAUCAUUGGGCGUAAAGCGUCCGCAGGUGGCUACUCAAGUCUGCUGUUAAAGACAGAAGCUCAACUUCUGAACAGUAGUGGAAACUGGAUAGCUAGAGUAUGGUAGGGGUUGAGGGAAUUCCCAGUGUAGCGGUGAAAUGCGUAGAUAUUGGGAAGAACACCAGUGGCGAAGGCGCUCAACUGGGCCAUAACUGACACUCAGGGACGAAAGCUAGGGUAGCGAAAGGGAUUAGAUACCCCUGUAGUCCUAGCUGUAAACGAUGAACACUAGGCGUUGCUUGUAUCGACCCGAGCAGUGCCGUAGCCAACGCGUUAAGUGUUCCGCCUGGGGAGUACGCACGCNAGUGUGAAACUCAAAGGAAUUG